GGCGAACCGUGCAAACGUUGUUCGGAAUCACUGGGCUUAAAGGGCGCGUAGGCGGCAGACCAAGUCCGGGGUGAAAUCUUUCGGCUUAACCGGAAAAGGGCCUUGGAUACUGGUUUGCUAGAGGGAGGUAGGGGUCUGUGGAACUUCUGGUGGAGCGGUGAAAUGCGUUGAUAUCAGAAGGAACGCCGGUGGCGAAAGCGACGGACUGGAUCUCUUCUGACGCUGAGGCGCGAAAGCCAGGGGAGCAAACGGG
Molecule: ribosomal RNA, 253 nt
Filed under: uncultured bacterium
Lineage: Bacteria
Description: partial 16S ribosomal RNA
Rfam family: Bacterial small subunit ribosomal RNA
Source: RNAcentral